Molecule: ribosomal RNA, 253 nt
Filed under: uncultured bacterium
Lineage: Bacteria
Description: partial 16S ribosomal RNA
Rfam family: Bacterial small subunit ribosomal RNA
Source: RNAcentral
GACGUAGGGCGCGAGCGUUGUCCGGAUUUAUUGGGCGUAAAGAGCUCGUAGGCGGCUUGUCGCGUCGAAUGUGAAAUCUCAGGGCUCAACUCUGACAUUGCAUUCGAUACGGGCAGGCUAGAGUUCGGUAGGGGAGACUGGAAUUCCUGGUGUAGCGGUGAAAUGCGCAGAUAUCAGGAGGAACACCGGUGGCGAAGGCGGGUCUCUGGGUCGAUACUGACGCUGAGGAGCGAAAGCGUGGGGAGCGAACAGG